GGCCCCCGAGAGACUGGGACCCAUCCUUCAAAAAGAGCACACAGUGCCACCCACAGAAUGCCUGUCCUAACUUAAUAAUGGACUAAUAAAAGUAUAAAGAGUGUUUUUUGCAGAUGCAGGAAUGGCCACAUGCAGGAACGCCCCCAAAUUGCAGUCCACAAUUGCAACCUUCUCCCAACAGAUGGCCUGCCAUACCAUAAUCAGUUACAUACCCAACCAAAAAACUCACUUUGAUCAGAACCCUCAUAUACAGCCAAAGCAGUAGGUGGCGGUAUGCACCUAUAGAAUUUGUUUGCCGACAGACAUAAUAUCCAAGAAGAAUACCCCGUACUGUAGGUGGCGGCAAUAUGGAAUGUUUUUUUUUUUUUUUCUUAUUCAAUACCCGGUCCAGCUGGUGACGGUAAUGCACCAUUAACAUUGGAUGCCAACCGCCGUUAAACCCCAUCGAAGAAGAAGAAGAAGUGGCGGCGGCAAUACACCAGUCGGUGUAGUCUGCCAUAAAACUUUGAAGGAGAAGAAGAAGAGCACGAGCACUCUUCAGGGUGUAUAGUUCUUUCUUUCAAUGUUUUAUCAAGACAAGCAAGUUGAAAAUGACCUUUGCCUUUCCUCUACGAAUGAAUGUUUUUAUAGAUGAAGACCUAGACUAAAACUUUGAAUAGCUACCUGAAUGGAAACUUAAUAGUUGAAUAAAUGAGACUGACGUCUUGAAAAGAUAGAACAUGUACCUGUUGCGCUUCUCUAUUGCCAUCAUUCUUGGGUUUGUGUGGUAUUUAUUUGACCGCGGACAAGUAGCGGCUCAAAUUGCUUUAUGUUUACUAUUUUGGCAAUCAACCCCAAAUGUUUUAAUAAAGACCAGACGGGAAAGCGGAACUCAGACAGACGAUGUGGCUGAAGAACAUUUAUUCCAGGAAACCACCGACCAUUUAGGUUGUGAUGUGACUGAUACAACAAGCACUAAAGCUGAAACAUCACAGGAGAGACAGUUUCCCCAUGUGAAGAGAUCUCUUCAGCAAGUGUUUGACUGUGCCUACGCCCAGCUAGUCCUCCCCUGGUACAGCGUCCCUGGGCCCUGUGACAGUCAGCUCCUGCACCAGGUGCUGUGGAAGGAGUUUGACCAAGUCAUCGAUCAAGUCAUCAGCAGAGGCAAAGACUUUGAUGUCUGUGCUGCAAGUGUGGGCUGCAUUCGCAUCCUGACCCAGCACCUCCAUAAUGCCAAACAGUCUCAUAGAAAACCAUUGUUCCGCUCUAGAGGAGAGGAGGUUGAAGUUCUCCGAGUGUUCUCUGAAGCACUGGUGCGAAACCUUUUACCCCAGUCCCUAUGGGGACUGGCAGUCAGCCACUGUGCCUUAAAUGAGAUAGUUGCCUUAAAAGUACUGGACCUGCUGGUGCGUUGGCUCUCAGACCCUGACAACCUCAACCAGCUGGUGGUGAGUCAGCUGGAUGGAGCGACCCGUAAAAGCUCUGUGGCGGAUCUGUGUGAGUCCCACUCUGACAGGGCCUCUCCAGCCUCCCUGGAGAGCCAGGCCAGUGGAGCGACACAGGAUGAAACAGAGGAUGUGCAAACCAGUGACAGCAAGUCCAAAAAGAAAGCUAACAAAUUGAAGGAAGGCUGGUCUAAAUUCCUUGACAAGAUGAGAUUGAAGAAUGCUAAAAGGGAGAAGAUGAAGAAAAGGGAGCAGGCGCUGGUUGUCAUGGCCAUGUCUAUCCAGGGUCGUCCAUCAAACGAAACUGAAGGGAGUAGCCGGGAGGGCUCCAUCCGGAACCAGCAGGACUCUGACAAUGAGGACAGUGAUCUGGAGAGCUACUGGAACAGUGUACAAGAGGAUAUGAUGGAAUUCAAUCUGUCGUAUGAGCUGUGGCGGGUUGGCCACUGGGCUGUCAGCGUCCCUUGUGUGGAGAGGGAAAACGAGGAACUGUGUUUUACAGUUCACCUGGAGGAGAGGGACAACCCUGAAAACCUUCACUGGAACGUGAGGAAGACCCAAACAGACAUCAUCCACUUCCGCAACCUAUGGCAGGACUCUGCUACUUUACCCUCCCUAUCCGUGUUAGAAGAGAGUACUGUGGUGAACAUCAGUGAGGAUUUUAAAGAAGCCAAAAAGUCAAUCAAGCACUUCUUACAGGAGCUGGUGUCUGAUGAUCUAGUGGGCCACACUCAGCCAGUGUUUCAGUUUCUGUGUCCUCUGGACAAGCUGCUGGUUGAAGAGGAUCAUGUGGGGGAAGUGUGGGGCCUCUUCAGUGGCCUGGCCUACUUCCUGACUCCGGGCCAAGAGGAAGAUGAGGACAAGCACAACAGCCUUGGAAGAGGGACCAAACCAGAUGAUUCCAACACAACGGAGGCUGCAGACCCAACUGCAACUGAGAACCUGGAUGGCGAUACAAGGGAUGACCUGGCCCGGGGCCCAUGUAUCAUCAUCUCCCAAUGUGAUGAGGAUUCUCCUCCAGAACCCAGUUCCAUUGAGUGCUGCAGAGAUGACGAAACCGAACCAAUAGAGAAAUCUGACAUUUUGGUUAAUGCAGACAAAACCGAGGGAUCUGAGAACCCCAUAACUUCUCACCUAAAGAUGGCAAUCAAAAGGCUAUCUAGAUCAGAGGAGUGUCUGGCCCAAACAAAAUCAGACACCCCUGAAGACCAGACUGACUCUUUCUGUAGACUGCGACGUUCCAGUGAAAAUGGAAGCUUGCAAUUUGACCUCGCUGUCAGUCCAACACAUCCUUUUGGUGGAAAGUCGAAUAAAAAGGAGAAGCUCACUUUCAAAAUGUCAGGAGGGAUGCCCAAGAGUAAAGGAAAUGAAAUGGGGAGUCAGCCAAAAUUAGAAGACUCACCGUGUUUGAAAAAGGAACAAUCCAGCUGGGAGCAAAUGGAAGCAACCAAAGCCCUUUUUGAUUUGUUGAAAGCAAUAUCUGGCAAUUCCAUCCUUCUGAACAUAUUUGAUGCGAUUUUGAAACCCGUCAUGCCGAUAUUGAAAAAGAAAGUGAACAGCUUCUUGAAUAAUAUGAACCCAACGGAAGCACAGAUUGCCUCCUAUAUCGACAACCUGCGUGAGAAACAGUGGCCCGGGGGCUUGCCGGAGGUGACAUGCCCUAUACCCCAUCGCAGCAGUGAGGAGAAGCAUGAAACCAAAGGCCGAGCUCACCAUCUCAUCAAUGCCAGAUAUUCAAACUAUUUAAUCUUGAAGAAGACCGAUAUGGAGUCAGCAUUUAAGCUCUUCCAGGACUGUGAAGAAAACAAGAAGCUGGUCUAUAUGCUGCUUUCAUUCCUGUUGAGAGAGCUUCUGCCAGGUGAGGAUGCCCUUAAUGUGAGUGCCAUAACCCUGCAGAAAGUGAACGUCAACUAACUCAUUUUUAGAUGUUCUCAGGUGAAUCAUGCUUUUAAAUGAUCUUUAGUUCAGUGAACUUUCGUUCUGAUGUUUUAGAAAAUGUUCAUAUUUAUUUGAUUGGUUGUCAGGCCUUACAACAGUCCCAUUUAGUAGCAUUUAAUCCAUAUGUCUACACUUGAUUGGAGUAUUAUAAUAAAUACAUCUUUAUGAUACAUUUCCAGGAAAACAUAUUUUACCUCAUGCAUUAAACAUGCUGUGAAUCAUGCCUAUUAUUUAAAAUGUAUCAUAUGUUGACUAUGAAAUAAGUUGAUCUUGAUUAUGUAUUUAGCAACAUGGGCAAAUAAUGUGUGGUAUAAAAAUGUGUGGUUAUUCAGGUUCAAAUGUCCUUUACCAGUGUAGAAAAUGUCAAUAUUUGCUAUCGAGAUGGUAACAAUGUACUCCAUUGUCAAACUCAGAGGGACCAUAAAUGCACUUUUAUUUCGAAAAACUUUACUGGUAGGGACAAACAGAGCACUGUGAAUAAAAUGUUAACAUUUUGUCCAAAACGUUUAUAAUCACGUUCAGAGUUGAUGGGGAGAUGUGUUAAAUGACCAGAAUCAUUUGACUGAAGUUGUUCAUAUUGUGUUUGGUUUGGAGAAUAGCCAGUAAUUACACAUGUGAUCUAGGUUUUACCAUGGCUUCCGAAGCAACUGAAUGUGAUGUUUUCGGUGUCGAUGUGCCUUCUUAAUAAAGUUAUUUACAUUUUUCUUGCUUUUUUGACAUAUGCCUGUUAUGCUUUCAUUUUUAAAAAUUUAAAUAGGCAAGUCAGUUAAGAACAAAUUCUUAUUUACAAUGACAAUGACAGCCUAGGAACAAUGGGUCUGCCUUGUUCAAGGGCAGAACGACAGAUUUUUUACCUUGUCAGUUCGGGGAUUUGAUGUAGCAACCGUUACUGGCCCAACGCUCUAACCACUAGGCUACCUGCUGCCCCUUUAGAUUGUGUGGUAAAUAUAUUCUGUCUUCUGAAUAUGGAUUCAUCCAGUCCAAUGGUAUUACUGAGUUUUAACUGUCUUUCUCUAUGUUGAUCAUUAUUAAAGUUCACAGACAAAAAUAAAUGGAUUAUUAAAGUGGCAAUAUGUAACUUUUUGGGCGACCUGACUAAAUUGACAUAAAUGUGAGCUAUAGAUUUAUAAUUCUAUUUGAAAGCGAAACGAUUUCGGCAUAGUGCAGUUUUAAGAGAUUAACAACUAAUUUGGAUUUUGUAGCUAUACUUAAGUAUACCCAAGAUAAUCGAUGCUGGUGGGAGGAGCUAUAAGACAGACUGAUUGUAAUGGCUGGAAUGGAGCUAGAUGCAGACACCAACCCCCGGACCUUCUGGCAAAAAAUCAAACAAUCAACGGAGACAAAACCAAUAACAUCAUACCUGUGCUAAAGUCUCAAAACCAACUCAUCGAAGACAACGAAACAAAAGCAACAUUAUUCAGAAACCACCUACAAAAUGUUCAUUCUUGUCCCGGCGAUCCUCUCUUUGACAAAGACUGGAAAACCAUCGACGACAGAGAAAUGCAGAAAACAGUGUACACCUCAAAUCCGACACCAGUAGACCAUCCCCUCACCCGCUCUGUUAGCGUUGAAGAAAUCAAGACUCACCUGAAAAAAAAAAAAAAAAACAAAGCACCAGGGGAAGACAACAUUGACAGCACACUCAUCAAACAAGCACCUGAUGAAUACCUGCACCUCCUUUCCAACCUCUUCACAGAAUGUCCCACGGAAGGCUACUUUCCCCUACCUUGGAAAUCUGCAGUUGUCACAAUGAUCCACAAACCUGGCAAAGACCCAUACAACGUCACAAGUUAUAGAACAAUCAGCCUCCUCAGUCAUGUCGGGAAGCUGUUUGAGAGAGUACUCACCCAAAGACUGAGCGGCCACAUCGAGGAAAUGGGCCUCCUUGGAAUCCACCAAGCUGGCUUCAGGAAAGCAAGAUCAACCACCGAUAACAUUCUAAGACUGUCAGAGGACAUCCUUCGGAACUUCAAGAAAAAAUAACUUACUCCUGGCGGUUUUCUUUGACAUAGAGAAAACAUUUGACAAGAUGUGGCACAAUGGACUGUGUUACCGGCUCGCAGAUUCCAAUCUCAAACUACCGCUCUCCAUCAGAAACAUCAUCACCAGCUUUCUCCAUAACCGUACAAUUAAAGUGAAGGUCUCCACAGCAAUAUCCUCACCUUUCACCCCGGAGGCAGGUGUCCCACAGGGGGCAGUUCUAAGCCCGCUACUCUUUCUACUCUACAUAUCAGAUAUCUACUACCCUCCACCCACCAUAGGUCAAGUCUCACAGUUUGCCGAUGACCUCUGCUACUGGUCCAGCUCCAAAUGUCCUCAACUUGCUGCAAAAAAACUCCAGAAGUCUAUUGAAAGGAUCGAGUCGUGGUCUAACAUGUGGCGAGUAAAAUUGAACCCACAAAAUACCCAAUGUGUCCUCUUCACAAGAAGCACCAGCAAAAAAAACAGGAAACCCAUAGAUCUCAAACUCUACGGUGAAACAAUAAAAGUAGAAAAAUAAGCAAAAUUCCUUGGAGUCACCUUCCAGAAGAACAUGCACUGGACAACCCAUAAAGCGAACAUAGAGAGAGAGGGACAAAAAAGACUAAACCACCUAAAAACACUGUGCGGAAGAAAAUAUGGAGUCUCACCUCAGACUGCUGAAAGUCUACAUCAGCAUAUCUGGACUGACAUCAAUAAACAAUAGACAGUCAAUCAUUGGCCAGAAGUUCAUCAACAGAGCCACUCACAACACAUCAUUGAAGGAAGCCGUGGGACAGGCCAAAUGAACCACAGAUACACCCAUGUCCAUAAUGCUGAAACUGACCUAGAAGAGGGGAAGAAAAAAAAUACAAAAUACAAAAAAAAAUAUAUAUAUAUAUACAACAACAACAAAAUAAUCAUUUGUGUGUGUAUGAAAAUGUGUAGAUAUAUGUGAAUGCACUCCUUAGCGCCCCCACCCCUCUCCCCAUGCACAGUUGUGAGCUAUAAUUGUAAUUACGUUUUUUAUCCCUUAUUUUUUUACUUUUUUAUUUUAUUUUAGAUAUUUUUUUAUUUUUUUACUGCUAUUUUUAAAGCAAAACACCACGAACUCAUGCCGGGGAAAGCAAAAAGGCGAAACUGGCCUGCCCUGCCUCUUCCACCAAUCGAAUUGUUUCUUAUGGACAGAAAAGAGCAGAGGCUCUGAGCUGUCCGAUCAGGUCCAUUGUCUACUUACUUGCUGGAAUGGAAUUCUUGGAACUGAGUCAAAUGUGGUUUCCAUAUGUUUGUUUUUGAUAACUUUCUAAUUAUUCCAUUCCAUUCCAGCAAUUACAAUGAGCCCAUUCGCCUAUCAAAUUCUAUUAGUCACAUACACAUGUUAAGCAGAUAUUAUUGCGGAUGCGGAUAGCGAAAUGCUUGUGUUUCUAGCCCAAACAGUGCAGUAAUUUCUGUAACUAUAUCAUAUAGUUCUUUUUUGAAUGAGCAUGUAUAUGAAAGUACUUAUAUAUUCUUGAUUUGAUAGCACGUAUUGUUGAGCUCAGUGAUUUUACUCAGCUCAAAGUAACACGUUUUUAGCGUUCCUCUGCUCUGCUGAAUGCUCUUGCCUGCAAUGCUAUUCUUCAGUUUCACUCCAACACAUUAGGUGGCAGCAUUGUUAGUGGCGCGCUCACCAGUGAGUGUUUCGGGUUAAUUCAAAAUGGCUGCGCCCUGAGCAUUAGUUGAAGGUGUCUGCUUUGAGCAUUGAAUAACGGGAAG
This 7076-nucleotide long non-coding RNA is filed under the name Oncorhynchus mykiss (rainbow trout). RNAcentral's name for it is "lncRNA (ENSOMYG00000054337.1)". Lineage: Eukaryota; Metazoa; Chordata; Actinopteri; Salmoniformes; Salmonidae. The record is from RNAcentral.